UACAGAGGGGGCAAGCGUUGUUCGGAAUUACUGGGCGUAAAGGGCGCGUAGGCGGUCUGUUAAGUCGAACGUGAAAUCCCUGGGCUCAACCCAGGAACUGCGUCCGAUACUGGCAGGCUUGAAUCCGGGAGAGGGAUGUGGAAUUCCAGGUGUAGCGGUGAAAUGCGUAGAUAUCUGGAGGAACACCGGUGGCGAAGGCGGCAUCCUGGACCGGUAUUGACGCCGAGGCGCGAAAGCCAGGGGAGCAAACGGG
Molecule: ribosomal RNA, 253 nt
Filed under: uncultured bacterium
Lineage: Bacteria
Description: partial 16S ribosomal RNA
Rfam family: Bacterial small subunit ribosomal RNA
Source: RNAcentral